AAAUGGAGAAGGAGACAGAGGCAGAAGAGAGGAGAGCAGGGAGAGGACAGAAUCUCUCUGCUGGAGAAACUUGUUGACAAAUUCAAUAUAAAGUUUGCUGCUGGACUUGGAUGGGCUGCCACAAUAAAGCCCCUGGUGUCUCCUGAUGCAUCAUCUAAAAUACAUUAUUGCAGGUGAUGAAACAUAUCUUCAAUAAUGAUUGAAAAUAAAAAAAUAAAAGUAUUGUCUCUGGUUUCCGUUCUCUGGGAACAAAUGUUAAAUUAAGCCAUCAACUGUGCUUGAUAACUUCAGAGAGUUGCUGAGAGUGGCGACAGGAGCGGCAAAAUGUAGGGGCGUGAACAGCUGGUGACGUACCAGGAAGUCCCCCGUAGACAGUACCGUCUCAUUUCGUAGACCGCUCGGUUCAAGCCUUCGCGGUAUACGGAGAUCCUGGCCUCCAAAGAUCGCGAAGGUUACGUCCACCGAAGGCUGCAGCCCCUGAAUUGAGACACAGCCAAGGGGAAGGGAACAUUUCAAAAUAAAACAGGAUAUAGAAAAUCUCGAUCAUGACACUAACAUAACGAAAUGUGGAAAAAGUGAAGGGGUAUGAAUACUUUCUGGAUGCACUGUAUAUACAAACACUUUCACAGAAACGCUCAAAAAUACACAAAUGAUCAAUAAGACCUGUUGGGUAUUUCUUCUCUGAGGAUAUUUGAUACCAAGGCACUAACCCUAACCUCCAAUACACACACACACACACACAUUACACACAGUAUACAGAACAUAAACAGCAGAUUUACACACUAGAUUCCUGGGAGAUCCAAUUCUUAGACGAACAUUCAUACAGUAGUAGUUGGUAAAAUAUAGCUUACAAGCACA
This 858-nucleotide long non-coding RNA is filed under the name Cottoperca gobio. RNAcentral describes it as "lncRNA (ENSCGOG00000009239.1)". Lineage: Eukaryota; Metazoa; Chordata; Actinopteri; Perciformes; Bovichtidae. The record is from RNAcentral.